AGUGGGCCGCGGGAGGUGAGAAGGGAGGGGCCCCUUGCAGGGCCUCCCGGCCCCGGCCCGCCCCUCGCCCCGGGGGAGGAUGAACCGAGUGGGCUGGAGUUGGCGGGAGGGAGCCUUUUUUGGCCUCCUUCCCUCUCCUGGCCCGCACGGACUCCCCCCGGUUCCCCGAUGAUGUUCAGUGUGAAGCUCGAGUCGCUAGAGAUCUUCCUGGGGGUCUGGUUUAGAGGCGAGGGUACAACCCAGAUGCUGCGAGCUGCUGAGCACGUUGCGAUGGUUUGAAGACGGUUUCGAGAAGAGGGGGGCUGAUUUUCCGGUGGAUGGAUUUUGAAGAGGAGAUAAGGCAGUUUUCCCAUUUUGGCAAAGGAGAAAUGUUCGCCAUAUUUGGAUUAGCUUUACUUCUGGGACAUGGAUUUUGCCAAGCUAACGUGAAAGUUGGUGAUGGUGGAGAUGGAUAGCUGACGGAACUAAUUACUGUUCAAGUGGGCGCAGUGGCGAGAAGGAAAUUGCUAAGCUCACCUACAGUCAGACGGACAGCAUAAUUUUCCAGGAAUCAAGAAUCAACAUCAGGUUAUUUCCUAAGAGGAAACUUUGAAAGCCCACCUAGAGGCUGCACAGCCAUCUGCACACUUGAACAUGAAAAAUGCUCUUCUUUCAUCAGGAAGACCUCCCUCUUCAGCUAAAUCAUCAGAAGUGAUGAGAAGGAGAAGAAGGGAUCCCCACCCAACCAAACUCAUCCGGACAAAUUAAAUUGUGUUGUUUGUUUGUUUGUUUGUUUUUGUUUUUAAGCAAGGAAUGGAGCUGCACGAGGGUGACCAGGUCACCAUCUUCUGCUCGCACCAGCGCUGAGUAGCCCCCUCCAGGACUGCCAUCUACAUGGAGGUGGUGCCCUGAGGAAGAGCACCUGGCGGAGGCAGCCGAUGGGGAGCUGGAAUCCUGCCCGUGCUUUACUCACCCAGCGAAGUGUAUUGGUGCAUGGCCGUGUCUACCCAGACAAGGUGGCUCCUUUUUUCAGUUUGCACCAAGGCACCCUGUUAUAGGCUGGGGGCAACUCAGACCAUCCCACCCCCACACCCCAGUCCUAUCCAGGAUUACCUCAGGUGCGUUAAAGAUUGUUACGAAGAAUUUAGGUUUAUUGUAAAAGAUGACGUACUUGACACAGUUGAAAUUAAAUAGGUAAAACUCCAAAUAUUACCAUAUAUAUGAGUUAUGUAUGUACAUAUCUAUAUCUAUCUAUCUCUCUCUAUAUAUAUGUAUAGUGAUGUCAAUACACAUUCCUAUGUAUCAGAAGUUAACACAACUUAAAUUUAGUAAAUGUUUAAAAUAAAAUUCUUUUAGAUAUUGCAA
Molecule: long non-coding RNA, 1344 nt
Organism: Hipposideros armiger (great roundleaf bat)
Lineage: Eukaryota; Metazoa; Chordata; Mammalia; Chiroptera; Hipposideridae
Exons: 3
Source: RefSeq, a predicted model, not a curated record